Falco peregrinus (peregrine falcon) is the source of this 523-nucleotide long non-coding RNA. RefSeq lists it as uncharacterized. The transcript is spliced from 3 exons. The record is from RefSeq and is a predicted model, not a curated record. Lineage: Eukaryota; Metazoa; Chordata; Aves; Falconiformes; Falconidae.
UUGCUUUUAAUUAUUUUAAUUCAGGAGAAUAGCUAAGGGGGCAGUUUUAUACUACAUAUAAUCUGGUGGACUGCAGCCAAACGAAGUGUUCUCACUGCUUCUGUUCAUACUGAUCUGAUGAUUGUGUGGCCUUGGCAUUCACUGGCUGGCUGGAGGAUUGCACACCAAAGAGGAGAAAAAAGGUCUAAAGAAGAUUUCUACUUGACUCAUGAGAUAAUGCGACCUUUCUUAUAUCCAAAUCUUUGAGAUCAGAAGAAAGGAAAAUAUCAUACUCUUGAUGUCAGGUAAUAGGGCAGUAAGUCUCUGCUUGCAUUUAAAAUGUCUGACAUUUUUGGGGAGUUUCCACAAUCUAAAUAAUGUAUGGAAUCACAUUAGCCGAGAGUUUGCAUGGUGAAUGCCAUAGGUUAAGGAAAGGAUGAUGCAUUCCAUAUGAAGUAGACAUGCUCAGCUGCCGUUUGGAGUCUUCAUUAAAUUACUGGAGAUGGUAUGCCUUCCUAAUAUUAUGCACUCAAUUUUAAAACUG